This is an RNA transcript of Medicago truncatula (barrel medic), 5512 nucleotides long. It is a transcript of the gene named serine/arginine repetitive matrix protein 2, with no coding region annotated. The transcript is spliced from 8 exons. NCBI's taxonomy places the organism in Eukaryota, Viridiplantae, Streptophyta, Magnoliopsida, Fabales, Fabaceae. The record is from RefSeq and is a predicted model, not a curated record.
AUUAAAAUAAAAACGCAAAGCAAAAACGGACGUACGCAUAUGCUUUGUUAUAGAUCAAACUGACCCUUUUGCUUUGUGUCGUGCAUCAGAGGAUUGAUUUAUUCAUUGAUUGAUUUCGUCCCAAACCUCCAUCACCAAACUUGGCCGCCACACAUCGAAAAGGGUUAAUGGCUGAUCGAAGUUUGGCCGUUGUGAAACCGGUAUGGAUGAAACAAGCUGAAGAAGCCAAGAUCAAGAGCGAGGCUGAGAAAGACGCUGCUGCAAAAGCCGCUUUUGAAGCAACUUUUAAGGGUUUGGUGAAAAGUCAUGAGAAGAGAGCAUCAAAUUCCGAUAGUGAUUCCGAUGAUUAUGAGGAUUUGGCUCAUAAGCCAAUUGGGCCGGUGGAUCCUUCCAAGUGUACUGCUGCUGGUACUGGAAUUGCUGGAGGAACGGCCUGUGCUGCUUCUUCCUUCGCCGUGGUGACUAAGGAUGCUAAUGAAAGGAAGGUUUCGGUUGGGGGUGCACAGAUUACUGUGAAAGUGACGCCGGGUUUGGGUGUUGGAGGGUCUGAUCAAGAAGGGAUUGUGAAGGAUAUGGGGGAUGGGACGUAUACGGUUACUUAUGUGGUGCCUAAGAGAGGGAAUUAUAUGGUUAAUGUUGAAUGUAAUGGCAGGCCAAUCAAUGGUAGUCCAUUCCCUGUGUUUUUCAGUGCAGGUAAUAGUAAUGGAGGGCUGCUGGGUUUAGCUCCUACAUCUUCAUAUCCAAAUAUGGUUAAUCAAACUAUGCCCAACAUGCCGAAUUACUCUGGCUCCGUCUCAGGGGCUUUCCCAGGAUUGUUGGGAAUGAUUCCAGGAAUUGUUGCUGGAGCUUCUGGAGGUGCUAUUUUGCCAGGAAUUGGGGCCACACUUGGGGAAGUUUGUCGUGACUACCUGAGUGGGCGCUGUGCAAAAGUUGAUUGUAAUUUGAAUCACCCACCUCAUAAUCUGCUAAUGACUGCCUUAGCUGCGACAACUUCAAUGGGAACACUUAGCCAGGCUCCGAUGGCACCUUCUGCUGCUGCAAUGGCCGCUGCUCAGGCAAUAGUUGCUGCCCAAGCCCUUCAAGCUCAUGCAGCUCAGUCAGCAAAAGAUUCUGCGGGCUCACCUGAUAAAGCCAAUAAGGAGGAUGUGUUGAAGAAAACUCUUCAAGUUAGCAAUCUUAGUCCACUUCUCACCGUGGAACAGCUAAAACAACUCUUUGGUUUCUGUGGUACUGUUGUUGAAUGUACAAUAACUGAUUCAAAGCAUUUUGCUUAUAUAGAAUACUCAAAACCUGAAGAGGCAGCUGCUGCUAUGGCAUUAAACAACAUUGAUGUUGGGGGGCGUCCUUUGAAUGUUGAAAUGGCAAAGUCACUUCCACCAAAACCAACUAUGAAUUCUUCACUUACUUCAUCUUCUCUUCCUUUGAUGAUGCAGCAAGCUGUUGCCAUGCAACAGAUGCAAUUCCAGCAAGCACUGAUUAUGCAACAAAAUAUGACUGCCCAGCAGGCUGCUAACCGAGCUGCAACCAUGAAAUCUGCCACAGAUUUAGCGGCAGCACGAGCUUUAGAAAUAAGUAAGAAAUUGAAUCCUGAUGGACUUGAAAUUGAAGAAAAAGAGACGAAACAGAAAUCCAGAUCACCUUCUCCCCCUCCUGAACGAUCACGAUCAAAGUCAAAAUCUCCUAUCAAUUACAGAAGGAGAAAGUCUCGUUCCUACUCACCUCCCCGCUAUUCUAAGGCUCGUCGGUCUAGGUCUCCAUUGAGGUUCCAUCAUCAUUCGAGGUAUGAAAGGGAAUGGAGGUCCUAUAGAGACAGCAGGGAACAUAGUGAUAGGUACAGGCGACGAGAUUCAGAUAGAUUUCUUGAUAACCAUUCAUCUGGUUCAAGAAGAAACAGAAGUAGGAGUGUGAGUCCUCAUGCAAGGAGAUCCCCUGUUUCUCCAAAACGUCAUGGAGGAAGUUCAUCUUAUAGAGGAAGGAAACAGUCUCGUGCUGAUUCUGGUUCUCCAAGCAAUCGCAGAGGAAGUAGGUCUUCUCCGAAGGUUGAUGAAAAGAAAGCAAGAAACAGAAGGCGCUCGAGGUCAAGAUCUUCAGAUGAUAAGCUUAACUUCGUUGUCAAAAAUGAAGAACCCGUGAAUGAGAAGGCCAAACAAAGAGAGCGAAGGCGGUCAAGGUCAGCAUCUGUGGAUGAGGAGAAGCCUCACAGGGGCCGAUCUUCUCCAAGAAAAGUGGAUGAAAGCAGACCCAGGCACAAGAAGCGGUCCAGGUCAAAAUCUGUGGACGAUAAGCAUCACUUGUCUGAUAAAUUUGAUGAAAACAGAAGUAGAAGGUCAAUAUCUUCAGAUGAUAAGCUUAACUCCUCUGACAAAAACGAAGAAAUCUUACACGAAAUGCCCAAACAUAGAGAGCGAAGGAGGUCCAGGUCCGUAUCUGUGGGCGAGAAGCCUCAGAGGAGGCGAUCAUCCCCACGGAAAGUGGAUGAAAGCAGAUCCAGGCAUAAGAAGCGGUCCAGGUCAAAAUCUGUGGACGAUAAGCGACACUUGUCUGGAAGAUCGGAUGAGAACAGAAGUAGAAGAUCAAGACAUGGUGAUAAAAGGCACUCCAGAUCAAGAUCUAUUGAAAAUAGAGACCGGGCUGAUGUCAGAGAGGAUGGACGCAAACAUGCAAAGUCAAAACAUCAUGAUACAAAAUGUAACAGGUCAGAGUCUGAUGAAGGGAAGCAUCAUUCUAAAGGUAAGUCUGGUGAAAAUAGAGAUAAGAAAUCAAAGCAUCGUGAUAGAAGGCGUUCCAGGUCAAUAUCAUCAGAAGGUAAGCAUGACAAAGGAGGCACUUCAUCACGUAGAGACGAGAGCGAUUUUGAGCACAAAAGAUUCAGGUCAAAGUCUCCUAAUGCCAAGCAUCACUGCAGUGAUGAUUAUGAAAAUAAAGAUGAAAGAUCAGAGCAUCAAGAGAAAACCUUAUCUAAAUCAAAAUCAGAAAAUCACCAGCAAUAUGAUGAUGGGAGUGUGCCGUCCCCAAUAAAUUUCAAGGAGUAUGAAUCAAAAGAAAAAACAAAAUUUGGUUCUGGAUCUGCAGGUGAUAAGCCCCAUAUGAGUGAUGGAGAAAAUGGUACAAGUGAAGGAAAUUCAAAACAUCUUGAAAAUGCCACACAGGAACCAAUUUUAAAUGUGAAGGACUUAACAAACAUGAAUGCCAAUGGGAUACUGAUUUCUGAGAAUGAGAACACAAAGUUCAAUGGGUGGACUGAAAAUGCAGGAGCUGAUGAUAACUCAGGGUGGAAAUGCGUGGAAGAAGUCAGAAGUGGGAAAUGUUAAGCAACCUCGCCCUGGAGUGGUGGAUCUCAAUGAUUUCAAAGUUUCUACCUGGCUUUUGACAACAACAUAGCUAUAAGUAUAGAUUUCUGUUAUUUCACCUCAAACGAGGAGUACUUAAAAAAAGAGGAUAAUCAAAUUUCCUUGCUUUUAAAGGCUGAUCAGAGAAGAUGCAUUACUGGAUGCUGAUAUGAUUUAUCGUCACUAGAGCAUAAUCUUACCAGAAAAAGCACUGCACAGAUUAUGGUUUUGUUUAUGGUUGAAGAUUUUUGCACCUGUUAAUGAUUAUGGGAUAAUAGCAUAUUCUAAUUAAGGAUGCAACAUAGACUGUUCCUCUUAGGCAAAGUGCUAUUACCACAGGAUGCUUAGAGAGUAUUUGAUUGGGUCCCAAGAAUAUUCUCUGCUGGCUUAUGAACAUCUUCGAUUGUUUAUUUCUUUUUGCAGGUUGGGUUGGAAAAAGUCAGAUGUAGAAUUCCACAGCUGUUGGUGUGAUUUAAGGUUUCAAGAAAUGACCUGCUUUUGUUAUGAUCAACCAUGCAACACUAUAUCAUGCUUCUUUUACUGGUUGAUUGAUGUUAUAUUCACAUUGAAAUCUAUUGGAGCUUUGAGAUACAGUUUUGCUGGGUUGAUUUUCUCUUGUAUAAAUGAAGGUAUGCAGUCAGAUUCUGAUGCUCUAUGGUUCAGAGCAUGUCUUAUUUUUUUUCCCUCCGAUAAGUGUUGGGAGCAAUGAGAGCUGCUUAACUUUGUAUUAUGUUUCAGUGUGUGCAUUAAUCACUGCAUUUUUUUCUCUUUUUUUUCCUUUUUUUCUUCUUCUUUUUUUCCCCUUUUCCUUUUCUUCUUUUUUCCAAGCAAUUGUCAUGGUUAGGUAAAGCUUCGAUAUAAGGUCAACUGAACCUGGAUGUUGCUGCAAUGAGUUGCGUCAUGUAGUGUUUGAGCAAUUGGCUGACUUAUAUUCUUUAAGUAAAUGCUGAAAUGCAAAUGAUUUCAACAGGUAAUUCUCCCUGAAACUAUUGGGUUGUUAAGCUAUAUAUGUAGGGUCUUCAGUAACACUUGUAUGCAUAGUUGCAGCCUUUAUAUAAUCUCAUCAGCCUUGUAGCUCUUUUAUUUAGUUUUUUUCGUUUUCAUGUUCACAAUGAUGCUUCCAUAUUUCACUUAUUGCAAUCGCAAUUCUGUGCAACUCUAGUGAGCAACUCACUUUUGAGUGUAAAGUUAGCAAUAUCAACUGUUAAUUAACCAAAUUAAAGGUAUAUAUUGUGGGUACAUCAUAACAAUCCGGAGUUGAUUUUCUCACUUUAUACUUUACUCACUUUAGAGGAUCCUUGCCCUAAAAUAUAAGGUUGUUGCCAAUAGUUUUAGCUCUUUUGAUCAAUUUGCUUUGGAGGAUAAAGUAAAGUAAGUGAUCUCAUUUUUCAACCAUAAAUCAACUGUUGAUAAUAUUUUGUAUUUGUAUGUAUUGCACUAUUGCAAAUCCUGAUUGUGUUAAAAUAUCGACAGUUGAUUUUUUUUUCUCAUUAAUGGUUGUACUAUUUUACUUUGUCCUCUAAAGUGAGAGCUCACUUUAGAGGAGCCGGGCGAAGUACGGUGAUGAGAGAUGCUGGAUAACUCUAGGAUUUUUCCUUUCUUGAGGACAUAGACAUUAUGUUUGUGUUUGUGAAUCACAUCUUAAGGUUUCCCGCCUUUUUUUUCUUCCACUCUUCCCACUCUCUUUCCCGGUUUCUGUUUUUCUGGUUAGGUUAUGCAUUGGAUAUGAUGAUCAAAUAAGCAGCUGUGAGUUCUCUUCACGACUUCACCGGAUGAUUCUGUGAAGUCUGUUCUUGGAAGUUCUUUGUGUUAUAUUUAUCUUAUUUAUUUUUUAGGGUCGAACGUCCUAAUAUAAUCUGGUCUCUCCGCCAACUGGUCUAGUCGCUGACCGCUGCCAAAUAACUUGCCAUGAAGUGUUGUUCUGCAUACAUUAUAAUUACGAGUUGAUUUGUUUUUAGUUCAGCUUAGGAUAAGAAAAGAAAGCGAACAAUGUGGUUAAGGGCUCAGAAAUUGGCAGUAUUUUUCUCUUAAACUGUCUAUAUGAAGCUCUAAGCUUUCUAGCACUUGUAAAAUGAUUGGUAGCUUAGGAGUGAUUUGUGUUUAUAUAAAUAGAUUGAAUCUUAGAUACUGUCGAUGUCAUUCCUGAGUUUUUUUUUUUUUGAAAGAUUUGUUUCUGUUUUUAA